RNAcentral lists this ribosomal RNA (253 nucleotides) under uncultured bacterium. RNAcentral's name for it is "partial 16S ribosomal RNA". It matches the Rfam family "Bacterial small subunit ribosomal RNA", at positions 524 to 776 of the family's 1533-position model. The record is from RNAcentral.
UACAGAGGUCCCGAGCGUUGUUCGGAUUCAUUGGGCGUAAAGGGUGCGUAGGCGGCGGGGUUAGUUUGAUGUGAAAUCCCGGGGCUCAACCCUGGAAUUGCAUUGAAUACUACCUUGCUAGAGUACCGGAGAGGAAACUGGAAUUUACGGUGUAGCAGUGAAAUGCGUAGAGAUCGUAAGGAAGACCAGUGGCGAAGGCGAGUCUCUGGACAUUUCCUGACGCUGAGGCACGAAAGCCAGGGGAGCAAACGGG